UACGGAGGGUGCAAACGUUGCUCGGAAUCAUUGGGCGUAAAGCGCACGUAGGCGUUCCGGCAAGUCGGGUGUGAAAGCCCUCGGCUUAACCGAGGAAGUGCAUUCGAAACUACCGGACUUGAAUACUGGAGAGGGUCGCGGAAUUCCCGGUGUAGAGGUGAAAUUCGUAGAUAUCGGGAGGAACACCAGUGGCGAAGGCGGCGAUCUGGGAAGAUACUGACGCUAAGGUGCGAAAGCGUGGGGAGCAAACAGG
This 253-nucleotide ribosomal RNA is filed under the name uncultured bacterium. RNAcentral describes it as "partial 16S ribosomal RNA". It matches the Rfam family "Bacterial small subunit ribosomal RNA", at positions 524 to 776 of the family's 1533-position model. The record is from RNAcentral.